Molecule: transfer RNA, 73 nt
Filed under: Stegodyphus mimosarum
Lineage: Eukaryota; Metazoa; Arthropoda; Arachnida; Araneae; Eresidae
Rfam family: tRNA
About the family: Transfer RNA (tRNA) molecules are approximately 80 nucleotides in length. Their secondary structure includes four short double-helical elements and three loops (D, anti-codon, and T loops).
Source: Rfam by way of RNAcentral
GCCUUUGUAGUGUAGUGGUCAGCACUCUCAACGCGUAUUCGAGAGGUCCGUGGUUCGAGUCCCGGCGAGGGCA